UACGAACGCUGGCGGCGUGCUUAACACAUGCAAGUCGAACGGAAAGGCCCUGCUUUUGUGGGGUGCUCGAGUGGCGAACGGGUGAGUAACACGUGAGUAACCUGCCCUUGACUUUGGGAUAACUUCAGGAAACUGGGGCUAAUACCGGAUAGGAGCUCCUGCUGCAUGGUGGGGGUUGGAAAGUUUCGGCGGUUGGGGAUGGACUCGCGGCUUAUCAGCUUGUUGGUGGGGUAGUGGCUUACCAAGGCUUUGACGGGUAGCCGGCCUGAGAGGGUGACCGGCCACAUUGGGACUGAGAUACGGCCCAGACUCCUACGGGAGGCAGCAGUGGGGAAUAUUGCACAAUGGGCUGAAGCCUGAUGCAGCAACGCCGCGUGCGGGAUGACGGCCUUCGGGUUGUAAACCGCUUUCGCCUGUGACGAAGCGUGAGUGACGGUAAUGGGUAAAGAAGCACCGGCUAACUACGUG
RNAcentral lists this ribosomal RNA (468 nucleotides) under uncultured bacterium. Its description in RNAcentral is "partial 16S ribosomal RNA". It matches the Rfam family "Bacterial small subunit ribosomal RNA", at positions 29 to 507 of the family's 1533-position model. The record is from RNAcentral.